UGUAAACUACGUUCGGUAUCGGUGCCAUCCUCUACGCGUUGGAACCUGCGUCCCAAUCAGGCCUUGCUCGCCAAAUAAGACGGGAUACCGAACUACAUACAUCGUAACAUAAUAUCGUGAAACCUAAGCGUCGAUGCCAGACGAUUCCCUCGAUCGAGGGAAUACACGACGUCACGUUACUUCCCACUGCCACUCUACAGUACGUCGUUUGUGCCACGUGACAUGAGUUUCGUCUGGAACGUUGUAUACAGAAUGACUCGUAACGUCACAAGUUCACUUAACAGAGGCAACUUUUCCCUUAAUUCUCUCGAUCUGGUAACGCUGGAUGCGUGCACCGCACCAUGUUUCAACGUAUACAGGCGCUUUAACAUGUAACCUGCUCCCGCGUACGACAGCGGACAAAAGCAAGUUUAAAUACAAGUGGUACGAAAAAUAUCAUAAUUUUACGAAGCAGAACUGUACUCGACGAAAGAAACGAAUAAAUAUAUGAGACGCGACUGUCAGCAAACGUAAUGGAAAAUAUCUAACACAAAGGUUCCUAAUACGUGCAUACGGCAAUAUAUUUCAACUUUCUUCUGUCCGCUACU
Bombus pascuorum is the source of this 587-nucleotide long non-coding RNA. RefSeq lists it as uncharacterized. NCBI's taxonomy places the organism in Eukaryota, Metazoa, Arthropoda, Insecta, Hymenoptera, Apidae. The transcript is spliced from 2 exons. The record is from RefSeq and is a predicted model, not a curated record.